This is a long non-coding RNA of Haliotis rufescens (red abalone), 641 nucleotides long. RefSeq lists it as uncharacterized. The transcript is spliced from 2 exons. The record is from RefSeq and is a predicted model, not a curated record. NCBI's taxonomy places the organism in Eukaryota, Metazoa, Mollusca, Gastropoda, Lepetellida, Haliotidae.
UGUAUUUUAUGUUGAUCAGUAAAUUUCAUUCAAUAAACUUUUUUUCUGCGAACAUAUAUUUGAAUGUGAAUUUUGGACAAUGUGCAAUCUAUGCUACAUUUUGAAAAUAAAGACUAAAGCAUUGACACAAAUGCGACUCAGAAAAUAUAACAGCGGAACUCUGCGCUUUAUGAAAACUGUACCAUUGAGCAAGGUGUCCCGAGCGAAUACAAAGGGAAACCACUCUCCACUAGAGUUUGAACUAAGAUUAGCUCCCCCUAAACUAUCAAUAAGGUCACGGUCAUUACUGUAGCCUGCCGACACCUUCCGUUUUUAUUCUUCCCAAAUUAUCGAAAAGAGCUCCAUAACCGAUUACGUCUCCAGACAUGGAUUCCAAUGCCACGAAGACAAAGGAUGCGUCAGCAAUGAUGAAUCUGUGAAAUACAGCAGUUCUCUUUACCGGAUGUAUCCGUGCAUCGUAUUUCUCUAACCGUUCCAGAGGAACGUCAGCCAACGGAAGUAUGCGGAAACCAGUCCUUCGUAAUGGUGGAAGCUUUUGGUUGGUUUUCUUCAGGGACAUAAUGGUAAUGUCAUGUAACGGCUUGAAUAAUUUGAGGUUAAGCUCAGGCUUAAGUGUGGUGAUUAAAAUAUUUUUAUCCUGA